This is a long non-coding RNA of Brassica napus (rape), 1278 nucleotides long. RefSeq lists it as uncharacterized. Lineage: Eukaryota; Viridiplantae; Streptophyta; Magnoliopsida; Brassicales; Brassicaceae. The transcript is spliced from 3 exons. The record is from RefSeq and is a predicted model, not a curated record.
AUAAAUAAAAUGAUCAAAUAUAUAAAAGAAACUAUCGAUAAUAUAUACAAAUAAACUCACCCUGCACAAGGCGCAGGUCUUAUCCUAGUUUAUAAUAAAUGAGACUUUUCUAGCAUUCUCGUAUAGGCAAUUUGUGACACUUUUCCUCUCUUUUUUACGUGAUCAGCGUGAGUUUUUUUAAACUUUUUGGCCUACUGAUUUUUCUUUUGUUUUGUGGGCUCUUACUAGCUGGCCCAUCUUCUUUAGGGUUUCUAGCUCCUGCGAUCAGGAUUGGGCUCCUCCCCCUGGCUCUUCGUCUCUUUGAAACUCAGAGGAGAGCCUCUGUAAGUUUUAACGUCGUCCGUUUCUUCCUUCAGUCUCAUCAUUUAUUGAUUGCCCACUCAUCCCACUCUCUCUGAAUUAAACAUCAUCAUUAUCAUCAAAGGUAGCCGCUUGAGACUCUUCUUCACUAUAAAACGGUCUCUUCUCUGCGAUGAAUAGCCACAGUUAUACGGGAUCCCUAAUAUGCUUUUCAUGGAUGAGAAGGUAACUCCAGCGAGCUCUGUCUUCGUUUUCCCCACGAAGACUAUGUCUUUGGUUUUAUUUCUAUCUAAGUCAUAUGGAGUUUACAUCUCCGACGUCGUAACGCUUUUACUUUUCCGCCAUAAACCACCAUAUGUGCACCUUCGACGAGGUUACAAUUAUAUUUCAAUUGGUUUUCUGACUGGUGCUUGAAGAUAUAGCUCUGGUGUAUUCAAUUCUCUUUAUGCAAGAUUUACUCUCUUAAAAGGAUAGCAGACAAAGGUCAUGCGGUUGGAAACUCGAUAGAGAGUUGCAAAGAUGAGUCUAAGCCUCGAAACUGUUCUGAGUAGAAGUGGGAAGAUGCAGAGCCAAGGUCCCAGAAAAUAGGAAGAAGAUAACAAUGUCUGUGAGUAGUUCUAUGAUACAAGAACCAGUGAGGACUUGGCAAAAUAAAAUGAUGGAAACCAUUCUUGUGGAGUUCUGAUUGAGACUGGAAAGAAGCUACGAUUUUAUAACAUCAAUGGUAAUAGUUGUUCUCCUGAGAUAGUUUUCUGUCGUUUUAUAUGGACAAGCAUGUUAUAAGGAGAACACUUAUCAUGUUGUGGAAGGACAUGUGUCGAUGAAGGCGUGACAGUCCAGGAGAAGUUCAAUAUUCGUUGAGAAAGAUUCUGUGUAUUUUGCAUUUUUUGGGAUUUGUAAUAUAAAGCUAACAUAUUCUUUGAUUAUUUUAUUUCAUUAAAUUAUGUAAUCUAUAUAUGUUUAACGAAGUUUUUGAUA